GUUAANGGCGCAGCCUNGAUCCAGCAAUGCCGCGUGCAGGAAGAAGGCCUUCGGGUUGUAAACUGCUUUUGNACGGAGCGAAAAGGCUCUCUCUAAUACAGGGGGCUCAUGACGGUACCGUAAGAAUAAGCACCGGCUAACUACGUGCCAGCAGCCGCGGUAAUACGUAGGGUGCGAGCGUUAAUCGGAAUUACUGGGCGUAAAGCGUGCGCAGGCGGAUUGUUAAGCAAGACGUGAAAUCCCCGGGCUUAACCUGGGAAUGGCGUUUUGAACUGGCAGUCUGGAGUGUGUCAGAGGGGGGUAGAAUUCCACGUGUAGCAGUGAAAUGCGUAGAGAUGUGGAGGAAUACCAAUGGCGAAGGCAGCCCCCUGGGAUAACACUGACGCUCAUGUACGAAAGCGUGGGUAGCAAACAGGAUUAGAUACCCUGGUAGUCCACGCCCUAAACGAUGUCAACUGGUUGUUGGGGGAGUGAAAUCCCUUAGUAACGAAGCUAACGCGUGAAGUUGACCGCCUGGGGAGUACGGUCGCAAGAUUAAAACUCAAAGGAAUUGACGGGGACCCGCACAAGCGGUGGAUGAUGUGGAUUAAUUCGAUGCAACGCGAAAAACCUUACCUACCCUUGACAUGUCCAGAAUCCUGCAGAGAUGCGGGAGUGCCCGAAAGGGAAUUGGAACACAGGUGCUGCAUGGCUGUCGUCAGCUCGUGUCGUGAGAUGUUGGGUUAAGUCCCGCAACGAGCGCAACCCUCGUCCUUAGUUGCUAGCGGUUCGGCCGAGCACUCUAAGGAGACUGCCUUCGUAAGGAGGAGGAAGGUGAGGACGACGUCAAGUCAUCAUGGCCCUUACGGCCAGGGCUACC
RNAcentral lists this ribosomal RNA (859 nucleotides) under uncultured bacterium. Its description in RNAcentral is "bacterial SSU rRNA". It matches the Rfam family "Bacterial small subunit ribosomal RNA", at positions 367 to 1218 of the family's 1533-position model. The record is from RNAcentral.